GCAGCCAUGCCGCGUGAAUGAUGAAGGUCUUAGGAUUGUAAAAUUCUUUCAGUAGGGACGAUAAUGACGGUACCUACAGAAGAAGCCCCGGCUAACUUCGUGCCAGCAGCCGCGGUAAUACGAAGGGGGCUAGCGUUGCUCGGAAUUACUGGGCGUAAAGGGAGCGUAGGCGGGUUAUCAAGUUGGAGGUGAAAGCCCAGGGCUCAACCUUGGAAUUGCCUUCAAAACUGAUAGCCUAGAGUAUGAUAGAGGUAAGUGGAACUCCGAGUGUAGAGGUGAAAUUCGUAGAUAUUCGGAAGAACACCAGUGGCGAAGGCGACUUACUGGAUCAUGAGUGACGCUGAGGCUCGAAAGCGUGGGGAGCAAACAGGAUUAGAUACCCUGGUAGNCCACGCUGUG
RNAcentral lists this ribosomal RNA (399 nucleotides) under Asticcacaulis sp. RNAcentral describes it as "bacterial SSU rRNA". It matches the Rfam family "Bacterial small subunit ribosomal RNA", at positions 388 to 804 of the family's 1533-position model. The record is from RNAcentral. Lineage: Bacteria; Pseudomonadati; Pseudomonadota; Alphaproteobacteria; Caulobacterales; Caulobacteraceae.